This is a non-coding RNA of Zonotrichia albicollis (white-throated sparrow), 4074 nucleotides long. NCBI's taxonomy places the organism in Eukaryota, Metazoa, Chordata, Aves, Passeriformes, Passerellidae. The record is from RefSeq and is a predicted model, not a curated record.
UUUCCUAACUAUUUUCCAGUUUAUCAGAUAACCAUGAAUCUCUCAAAACAAUCCCUUUCUUUUCUCUGUCCUUCUGUUCAUGUGUUGUGUUUAAUCAUCUUAAUUUUCCCUUUAAUAUGCUGUUUUCUUCCCCCAAAUGUUUGGCUUCUAGUCUGUAUUCUCUCAUUCUCUAUAUUCCCGUCUUCUUCCCAGCUUUUAUGGGAUGAAUUCUGCUUUUCUUUCUGCAUUACCAUGAUGUCUGCUACUCUUUCUUUCCUCACUUAUUUCUCUUUUAUUACAUUAAUUCUAAUAUGAAUUUUUCUGACAUACCUCUCACCAGGCUGGUAAAAGUCUCUUCACUGAGACUUGUACUCUUGUUUUGAUGCUAUAGGUAAAUACAGUGUUUAAUAUUCUUUCCCUAAAAGGAAAAUGUAGAAAACCACGCGAUUUUACACAAAUUCAUUCAAAUAAUUAUUAAACUAUCAAGAAAUAAAUUGUAUACAGACUGGUGGCUUGACGCUUCUUAAGCUAGAUAUGAUUAGAUAUUCAAUUCUUGACAUUUUCUUGAUUAGUUUUCCAAGAAAAAAAAAAUUAACUCCCACUACAUUUGUGUAUAUCAUAUCAUAGCUAUUUAAAUGUUACUACUCUUAUGAUUUUGCAAGCUUAUACCAAGAGUAAAGCUGGAAUUACCCCAGUAAUGAUUUGGUAAAGACUCUGGAGGCAGCUCAGUUAUCCAAAGGCAUGCAAUGACAAUUGUGGAUAUGCCAUGGUAUCCUGCCAACACCUCACUUGUUGAUUCAGAAAGCUGCAGGUCUCAGACCACCCAGGACACUCCAGGUAACAUUAUGAAACAGUGAUGUCUAGUAUAGGGAGCUGAAUUUUACUCUGUAGCUUGGAUAUUAACUUGUAUUAAUGUUGCAUUAAUUUGGAGCUGAAUCUCCUUCUUAGUGUAACUUUCCACAUUUUUUCAGUAUUACAGUUUUCUCUGGUUCUCUUUCAUAUGGGACAUAAGACAGGGAUACUAGUGCUAUCUGGCUACUAGUGACUACCUGGUGUUCACAAUUUUAGUUACUUUAACUUGUGCUGUGUGGAAAUUCCAGAUUUCCUAUUUAACAUUUGCAUUUAUUAUGGCUGAACUGGCAAAAGAAUUCAAAGCCUCUGGAAGGUAAAAAAUAAUGACUACGUAUUAUGCUCCAGAUACAUGUACAUAUGUGUGCAUGCAUCUAGUUUUAUAAUCAAAGGGAAUUAAUGAUUCAAUGUGGAUAGCUGAGUUGCUCUUUAUAAUUGAAUAUUUUAUUCACAGUUGAGGGAGUAAUAAUUUUGAAGUUUUAAACUGCUACAUAUACAUAAAAAUCUCAAGAAUAAUACUUGUUAAAGUAGUAUAUGGGUUUAUUCACCUCUAUUCUUUACUCCCAGAAGAAGGCAGAGUUCAUGUAGAGUAAAUCAGGGCAGUGGCAGUGAGGAGGACCAAAGCAAGAUUACACCAUUUAAAUGUGGAACAGGUUUUAGGGCAUAUAAUAUAAAAAUACAGAGGUGACAUCUGCAGUUACCUGUUGAUGCUCGCUAGGGCAUGUCUAGUUUCUGUUCCUCCACAUAGCUGGUUCUCUGAUAUCCUUGGUGAGAACACUAUAGUUCUUACAUUAUCAGUUUAUGUAGUUUCCUUAAAUUUGUAAAUCUAUGUCCUGUCCAUACAUGAAACAGAAAAGCGCUAGGGUGUGCUGUCAGGCUAAAUGCAAAAAUGUUUCUGUAUUCUGUGGUCUAGGUGUGGCCAAAACAGCCUAAAGCAAAUGGUCCCAAAGUGUCUCCUCUGCAGAAUAAUACAUUUGGCGCCUAACUUAAUCUUAUCUGAUUGUGACACGUUUCAUGCAGUCCCUGCCCAGCACAGAGAGUGAGUGAAUUUUUGCCUGGCUCAUGACAUGAUUUAUUUAUUUUUCCGGUGUUAUUUCUAGGUUAAGCCUUUUUUGUGAAUCUCUUCAAUAUGUGGCAGUUCAUAUGAAGGGUCAAACCGGCUUGUCAUAGAAGUCCACUGCCCUGAAAAUGUGGUUUCAAAAAAUCACAAAUCAAAUGGUGAAGACUUAAUUUAUGCCUGAAUCCACAGGUAAAAACAAAACAAAACAAAAAAACCCCAAACUAAAGCCAAAAAAACCAAAACCAAACAAAAAACUCCCAAAAAACAAAACAAAACAAAACAAUGAGAAUUAUUCUAAAAAAUAGAAAGCUCUCAUUGAUUUCUUUGGUUCAGAAGAGAGGAUAAGCUCAGUUUCUCUUUGCUAGUGGGACACUCAAUGUUCUUCAAUCAUGCUGCUAAAAAGACGAGUGCUCUGUUGUUUGCUGAAACUGGCUAUUAUUCAGCAGAACAGAGCUAAAACCCUUAAAUUCCCUGCAAGUACUCCUCAGUCAAAGCUUUACCUCAGAUCACUGGCAAUGGAUUUAAGGGAGAAAAAAAAAUUAAAAAUAAAAGAUAGCAUAAAAUCACCACCAAAUCUGCUGUCAGAUUAUUUUAAGAAGUCAGUUCCAGUCAGUUAAACUGACUCAAAAAUAUGCUGGUAAAAAAACAGUAUAGUGGAAAUGAACUUAGUGAACUCAAAAGAAAAACAAUAGCAUCAGACAAUGUAGACUGCUUCCCUGAGCUUCCUGUCAUACAGUUAGUCCCUAAAUCCCAACAGAGCCAGUGAAGGCAAACAACAUUUUAUAAAGCAAACACAGAAGUCUGGGUCUUUCCUGUUUUUCAUAAUGAGGUCACCUGAAAAAUGAGCUAGAUAUAUCUCAGGUAUUUGUUUUCUGUUGUCUCCAGCAGCUGUUAUGCAGAGAAGGGAAGAGUUUUCUUUCCUGUUAUUUGGUUUUUUAACAGAUCCUGUGCAUGUCAACACUGAAGAAAGAAAGCAGGCUUGAAAAAACAAGCAUGGGCUAUGCAAACAAUUUCUCCUCAUACAGGUCAUUGAUGCCAUGACUCAGAAGAGGAAAAUGGAACUCAGGAUGCCAGGCAAACAUUAAAAUUACUCACAAAUGACUUGUAAAUUACUCUGUUAAAGAGGUAACAACAACUUUGUAUGAGAUGUUUGAAUAGCAGAAUAUUAUUCAGGAACUGCUUGCUAUUGAGUGUUGAAACUAUAAUAACAUAACCUCAUGUAUUGUUCAAAAGCAAAGGGAAGUCUCAACAAAGUUCUAUAUGAUUCUUACAAUGAAAUAGUAAGUUAAAUAACAAAUUCUCAAAGUAUCAUUUAGAAAAAGUUCUAACUCAGGCAAAAUGUACACUGGGUAAAUUUAUACUUGACAGGCACUAGAAUUUGUCAAUCUCUCACUGAGAAAAAAUUCUUAUUUCUAUCCAUGUGAGAUAUAUGUUUCACAAGUAAUAUUGAUCCAGGCAGCAUAUAGUCACUUGAAUUGGGACACAUUAUCUAGAAGUAACUAUAAAGUGGCUGUUAAAAUAGCCCAGUCAUGAUGGCGGUACAUAAAAAAUAGGAGAAAACAGCUACAGACCUAACAUAAAACUUUAGAGAGGCAAAAGAGAAAUCUAGUUAUUAACAAUUAUCUUAACAGCAGCUUUGCACCAGUAUAAUCAUUGAAUUCAGUGUGGCUGCUUCUUUUGUUCAUCCUUGCCAGCCGGGGAAGAGCAGAGCCUACAGCAUCUCCCUGAACAAGUUAGCACUCUGUGCGAUAAAGGGAAAAAAAUACCCAAAGAAACAAUUGCCACACAUUUUAAAGAAGAAAAAUGAGAGGACUUUAAGCGUUACACUUCGUAUAUCACAUAAAUUAUCCUCUAUUCUUUAAACAAACUGUGCACUGUAAUUUAAAGCCAACAUGCAGUCACCUAUUUUCCACUGCUGCUGAACUGGAUUACCACCUGCCUUGACUCCAUCCUUUGGAAGGCUGCCAGCAUUGUUACAAUUUAAUGCUAUAUCCCACUGUGUCAGGAAAGACAUGCCUCCCCAAUCUUGCUGUCAAACUAGUGCUUGUCAACAUCCCUUAAUUAUUGCUAUUAUUAGGAAUGAAGGUUAAAUACAUGUUCUUUGUGAAUGGUAAUUUCUAUUGUCUGGUUUAGUUUUAUUAGGUUCAGUUGUGCUACUAUGAAAUAAAGCUUUAAUUGAAAGAUGA